RNAcentral lists this ribosomal RNA (516 nucleotides) under uncultured bacterium. RNAcentral describes it as "bacterial SSU rRNA". It matches the Rfam family "Bacterial small subunit ribosomal RNA", at positions 8 to 526 of the family's 1533-position model. The record is from RNAcentral.
AGAGUUUGAUCAUGGCUCAGAAUUAACGCUGGCGGCGUGCCUAACACAUGCAAGUCGAGCGAGAAAGCCUUUCGGGGUGAGUAAAGCGGCGGACGGGUGAGUAACGCGUGAGAAUCUACCUUUUAGUGAAGGAUACCUUCGAGAAAUUGGAGCUAAUACUGCAUACGUCCUUCGGGAGAAAGAUGGCCUCUCUGCUAUCGCUAAAAGAUGAGCUCGCGGACUAUUAGCUAGUUGGUAGGGUAAUGGCCUACCAAGGCGAUGAUGGUUAGCCGGCCUGAGAGGGUGUACGGCCACACUGGAACUUAGAUACGGUCCAGACUCCUACGGGAGGCAGCAGUGAGGAAUUUUGCGCAAUGGGCGAAAGCCUGACGCAGCGACGCCGCGUGAAGGAUGAAGGUCUUCGGAUUGUAAACUUCUGUUAAGUGGGAAGAAAGCUCUAGUCCUAAUACGACUAGGGAAUGACGGUACCAUUAGAGAAAGCACCGGCUAACUCCGUGCCAGCAGCCGCGGUAAUAC